AGCUGCAUGGCGCAAGAGAAGCGCGCCAGGCUCAUAACCCGGAGGUCACUUGAUCGAAACAAGUUGCAGCUA
Molecule: transfer RNA, 72 nt
Organism: Podospora anserina
Lineage: Eukaryota; Fungi; Ascomycota; Sordariomycetes; Sordariales; Podosporaceae
Rfam family: tRNA
About the family: Transfer RNA (tRNA) molecules are approximately 80 nucleotides in length. Their secondary structure includes four short double-helical elements and three loops (D, anti-codon, and T loops).
Source: Rfam